UCCAGCCACACUGGAACUGAGACACGGUCCAGACUCCUACGGGAGGCAGCAGUGGGGAAUAUUGCACAAUGGGCGCAAGCCUGAUGCAGCCAUGCCGCGUGUAUGAAGAAGGCCUUCGGGUUGUAAAGUACUUUCAGCGAGGAGGAAGGCAUUG
This 154-nucleotide ribosomal RNA is filed under the name Obesumbacterium proteus. Its description in RNAcentral is "partial 16S ribosomal RNA". It matches the Rfam family "Bacterial small subunit ribosomal RNA", at positions 303 to 456 of the family's 1533-position model. The record is from RNAcentral. Lineage: Bacteria; Pseudomonadati; Pseudomonadota; Gammaproteobacteria; Enterobacterales; Hafniaceae.